Molecule: ribosomal RNA, 468 nt
Filed under: uncultured bacterium
Lineage: Bacteria
Description: partial 16S ribosomal RNA
Rfam family: Bacterial small subunit ribosomal RNA
Source: RNAcentral
GACGAACGCUGGCGGCGUGCUUAACACAUGCAAGUCGAACGGAAAGGCCCUGCGUUUGUGGGGUGCUCGAGUGGCGAACGGGUGAGUAACACGUGAGUAACCUGCCCUUGACUUUGGGAUAACUUCAGGAAACUGGGGCUAAUACCGGAUAGGAGCUCCUGCUGCAUGGUGGGGGUUGGAAAGUUUCGGCGGUUGGGGAUGGACUCGCGGCUUAUCAGCUUGUUGGUGGGGUAGUGGCUUACCAAGGCUUUGACGGGUAGCCGGCCUGAGAGGGUGACCGGCCACCUUGGGCCUGAGAUACGGCCCAGACUCCUACGGGAGGCAGCAGUGGGGAAUAUUGCACAAUGGGCGGAAGCCUGAUGCAGCAACGCCGCGUGCGGGAUGACGGCCUUCGGGUUGUAAACCGCUUUCGCCUGUGACGAAGCGUGAGUGACGGUAAUGGGUAAAGAAGCACCGGCUAACUACGUG